AGUGAACGCUGGCGGUAGGCCUAACACAUGCAAGUCGAACGGCAGCACAGUAAGAGCUUGCUCUUACGGGUGGCGAGUGGCGGACGGGUGAGGAAUACAUCGGAAUCUACUUUUUCGUGGGGGAUAACGUAGGGAAACUUACGCUAAUACCGCAUACGACCUACGGGUGAAAGCAGGGGAUCUUCGGACCUUGCGCGAUUGAAUGAGCCGAUGUCGGAUUAGCUAGUUGGCGGGGUAAAGGCCCACCAAGGCGACGAUCCGUAGCUGGUCUGAGAGGAUGAUCAGCCACACUGGAACUGAGACACGGUCCAGACUCCUACGGGAGGCAGCAGUGGGGAAUAUUGGACAAUUGGCGCAAGCCUGAUCCAGCCAUACCGCGUGGGUGAAGAAGGCCUUCGGGUUGUAAAGCCCUUUUGUUGGGAAAGAAAAGCAGCAGGUUAAUACCCCGCUGUUCUGACGGUACCCAAAGAAUAAGCACCGGCUAACUUCGCG
RNAcentral lists this ribosomal RNA (492 nucleotides) under uncultured bacterium. RNAcentral describes it as "partial 16S ribosomal RNA". It matches the Rfam family "Bacterial small subunit ribosomal RNA", at positions 29 to 507 of the family's 1533-position model. The record is from RNAcentral.